RNAcentral lists this ribosomal RNA (498 nucleotides) under uncultured bacterium. RNAcentral's name for it is "partial 16S ribosomal RNA". It matches the Rfam family "Bacterial small subunit ribosomal RNA", at positions 29 to 523 of the family's 1533-position model. The record is from RNAcentral.
AUUGAACGCUGGCGGCAUGCCUUACACAUGCAAGUCGAACGGUAGAAGGGGCAACCCUUUGAGAGUGGCGAACGGGUGAGUAAAGCAUCGGAACGUGCCCAGUAGUGGGGGAUAGCCCGGCGAAAGCCGGAUUAAUACCGCAUACGACCUACGGGUGAAAGCGGGGGACUCGCAAGAGCCUCGCGCUAUUGGAGCGGCCGAUGUCAGAUUAGGUAGUUGGUGGGGUAAAGGCCUACCAAGCCGACGAUCUGUAGCUGGUCUGAGAGGACGACCAGCCACACUGGGACUGAGACACGGCCCAGACUCCUACGGGAGGCAGCAGUGGGGAAUUUUGGACAAUGGACGAAAGUCUGAUCCAGCCAUGCCGCGUGCAGGAAGAAGGCCUUCGGGUUGUAAACUGCUUUUGUCAGGGAAGAAAUCUUCUGGGCUAAUACCCUGGGAGGAUGACGGUACCUGAAGAAUAAGCACCGGCUAACUACGUGCCAGCAGCCGCGGUAA